RNAcentral lists this ribosomal RNA (921 nucleotides) under Escherichia coli. RNAcentral describes it as "partial 23S ribosomal RNA". It matches the Rfam family "Bacterial large subunit ribosomal RNA", at positions 1 to 955 of the family's 2925-position model. The record is from RNAcentral. Lineage: Bacteria; Pseudomonadati; Pseudomonadota; Gammaproteobacteria; Enterobacterales; Enterobacteriaceae.
GGGUUGUGAGGUUAAGCGACUAAGCGUACACGGUGGAUGCCCUGGCAGUCAGAGGCGAUGAAGGACGUGCUAAUCUGCGAUAAGCGUCGGUAAGGUGAUAUGAACCGUUAUAACCGGCGAUUUCCGAAUGGGGAAACCCAGUGUGAUUCGUCACACUAUCAUUAACUGAAUCCAUAGGUUAAUGAGGCGAACCGGGGGAACUGAAACAUCUAAGUACCCCGAGGAAAAGAAAUCAACCGAGAUUCCCCCAGUAGCGGCGAGCGAACGGGGAGGAGCCCAGAGCCUGAAUCAGUGUGUGUGUUAGUGGAAGCGUCUGGAAAGGCGCGCGAUACAGGGUGACAGCCCCGUACACAAAAAUGCACAUACUGUGAGCUCGAUGAGUAGGGCGGGACACGUGGUAUCCUGUCUGAAUAUGGGGGGACCAUCCUCCAAGGCUAAAUACUCCUGACUGACCGAUAGUGAACCAGUACCGUGAGGGAAAGGCGAAAAGAACCCCGGCGAGGGGAGUGAAAAAGAACCUGAAACCGUGUACGUACAAGCAGUGGGAGCCUCUUUAUGGGGUGACUGCGUACCUUUUGUAUAAUGGGUCAGCGACUUAUAUUCUGUAGCAAGGUUAACCGAAUAGGGGAGCCGAAGGGAAACCGAGUCUUAACUGGGCGUUAAGUUGCAGGGUAUAGACCCGAAACCCGGUGAUCUAGCCAUGGGCAGGUUGAAGGUUGGGUAACACUAACUGGAGGACCGAACCGACUAAUGUUGAAAAAUUAGCGGAUGACUUGUGGCUGGGGGUGAAAGGCCAAUCAAACCGGGAGAUAGCUGGUUCUCCCCGAAAGCUAUUUAGGUAGCGCCUCGUGAAUUCAUCUCCGGGGGUAGAGCACUGUUUCGGCAAGGGGGUCAUCCCGACUUACCAACCCGAUGCAAACU